UUUCCUACGGGUGGCAGCAGUGGGGAAUCUUCCGCAAUGGGCGAAAGCCUGACGGAGCAACGCCGCGUGAGUGAAGACGGCCUUCGGGUUGUAAAGCUCUGUUAUAUGGGACGAACGUAUCUAUGGCCAAUACCCAUAGAUAGUGACGGUACCGUAAGAGAAAGCCACGGCUAACUACGUGCCAGCAGCCGCGGUAAUACGUAGGUGGCAAGCGUUGUCCGGAAUUAUUGGGCGUAAAGGGCGCGCAGGCGGCCUGUCAAGUCUGUCUUAAAAGUGCGGGGCUCAACCCCGUGAUGGGACGGAAACUGGCAGGCUGGAGUGUCGGAGAGGAAAGCAGAAUUCCUAGUGUAGCGGUGAAAUGCGUAGAUAUUAGGAGGAAUACCAGUGGCGAAAGCGGCUUUCUGGACGACAACUGACGCUGAGGCGCGAAAGCCAGGGGAGCAAACGGGAUUAGAUACCCUAGUAGUCAA
This 470-nucleotide ribosomal RNA is filed under the name uncultured Megasphaera sp. RNAcentral's name for it is "bacterial SSU rRNA". It matches the Rfam family "Bacterial small subunit ribosomal RNA", at positions 335 to 797 of the family's 1533-position model. Lineage: Bacteria; Bacillati; Bacillota; Negativicutes; Veillonellales; Veillonellaceae. The record is from RNAcentral.